Molecule: ribosomal RNA, 319 nt
Filed under: uncultured eukaryote
Lineage: Eukaryota
Description: partial 18S ribosomal RNA
Rfam family: Eukaryotic small subunit ribosomal RNA
Source: RNAcentral
CCCUUAGAUGUUCUGGGCAGCACGCGCGCUACAAUGGUCUUCGCAAACGGAUGCAUUCUCGAAGGAGAAUGCCAAUCUUGGAAGCUAUGCCUUGGUCGGGACAGUUGCUUGCAAUUUUUCGACUCGAACCAGGAAUUCCUUGUAAUCGUGAUUCAUCACAUCACGAUGAAUACGUCCCUGCCCUUUGUACACACCGCCCGUCGCUCCUACCGAUCGAAGAGUUAGGUGAAUUGUUUUGAUCGAUAAGAUUUGACUAUGGUCAACUCUCGUUGUGAAAUUCUGUGAAUCUGACUGUUUAGAGGAAGGAAAAGUCGUAACA